CGGCGCUCUCCCUAAUAAAGCGGUAAAUUGUGUGUUGUUUGCAUACUCCAAUACUGGCCAAUCACAUUCGCACGCUAUUUAUGUGAACUCGUGCAGUUAGCAGCAAAAUGGCAUCACGAGUGAAAUCCAAAGCGAUAGUAUCUAGUUCUGAAGGAUCAGACUCGGAUACAGAAUAUAAGCCUAAACCCAAAAAACAGAAAAAAGAAGAAAAGAAAACCAAAGCACCCAAAAAAAAUAGUGAUGAUGCAUCAGAUGACAUGAUUGCGCUUGCUAAGAUGAGGUAUGUAACUGUACGUGAUUUUAAAGGCAAAGUACUAAUAGAUAUCAGAGAAUACUACAAUGAUAACAGUGGAGAACUCAAACCUGGAAGGAAAGGCAUUAGUCUAAAUAAGGAACAAUGGGACAAGUUGAAGGAGAGUAUUGGGGAAAUUGAUGAGAAGAUUGAAGAAUUAUCAUAAGAAAAAUGCACAACUAUUUUUAUCAUCAGACACUGCUAACCAUUGCAUAUAGCAUGUCAACAUUUUAUCUUAUGUUUAUUUUUUCUUAUACUGUUUGUUAAUUUGUUGUAGAUUGUAGUACAUAAAUAUACAUGGUUAUUCAUUGAUAUUGCCCUCAUUACAUAUAUGUGACAUCACUCACAUCACACAGUAUAUAUCACACAAUAUGUCAUAUCACUCACAUCACACAGUAUAUGACAUCACCCACAUUACACAGUAUGUGAUAUCACCCACAUUACACAGUAUGUGAUAUCACCCACAUUACACAGUAUGUGAUAUCACCCACAUUACACAGUAUGUGAUAUCACCCACAUUACACAGUAUGUGAUAUCACCCACAUUACACAGUAUGUGAUAUCACCCACAUUACACAGUAUGUGAUAUCACCCACAUUACACAGUAUGUGAUAUCACCCACAUUACACAGUAUGUGAUAUCACCCACAUUACGCAGUAUGUGAUAUCACCCACAUUACGCAGUAUGUGAUAUCACCCACAUUACAUAGUAUGUGACAUCACUCACAUUACUCAGUAUCUGAUAUCAACCACAUUACACAGUAUGUGAUAUCAUCCACAUUACACAGUAUGUGAUAUCGCUCACAUUACACAGUAUCUGAUAUCACCCACAUUACACAGUAUGUGAUAUAACCAACAUCACACAAUAUGUCAUAUCACUAACAUCACACAGUAUGUGAUAUCACCCACAUUACACAGUAUGUGAUAUCACCCACAUUACACAGUAUGUGAUAUCACCCACAUUACACAGUAUGUGACAUCACCCACAUUACACAGUAUG
This is an unclassified non-coding RNA of Saccoglossus kowalevskii, 1290 nucleotides long. Lineage: Eukaryota; Metazoa; Hemichordata; Enteropneusta; Harrimaniidae. The record is from RefSeq and is a predicted model, not a curated record.